AUACUUACCUGGCAGGGAGAUACCAUGAUCACUAAGGUGGUUCCCCCAGGGCGAGGCUCAUCCAUUCGCGCGGGUGUGCUGAUCUCUGCGGUUCCCAAAUCAGGGAAAUUUCGAUUGCAUAAUUUGUGGUAGUGGGGACUGGUUGGCGCUCCCCCCUA
Molecule: small nuclear RNA, 158 nt
Organism: Polypterus senegalus (gray bichir)
Lineage: Eukaryota; Metazoa; Chordata; Cladistia; Polypteriformes; Polypteridae
Product: U1 spliceosomal RNA
Exons: 1
Source: RefSeq, a predicted model, not a curated record